AUGCAAAUUGGCGAAAUUAGACGAAUUUGCAUAAAAAAUUUAAAAGUUUUAAAUUUUUAUAAAACUGAAUCAUUUUUUUCGAUUUUACAGAUUCGGUUCAAAUUUUUAAUAAACUGACCAAAAUAUACUUAUACAUUUUUCUCUCUUUUUAUUUCUUCUCGCGUUUUUUUUUUUUUCGCCGAAGAAGACGACAGAGACGAAGGCAGAAACGGUCCCCAUUGUCUCUGCACCUCACGUCCUCACCCUCGUCCAUGCACCCCUAGCCCUACUCGCCUCCGGCCACCGCAGCCGAUGAUAAAGAGAAAGUAUUUCCGAAAUGUUUAUUGGAAUUGUUUCUUAGGAAAUAAGUGAUAUUUACUGAAUAUAAUAAUAGUAGCUAAAUUAAGCUGAAGUUUUAACAAAUAGAUAAGUAUUUUAUAUUAUUUAAUAUGAUACCUAUUAAAAUAAUAUGCUUUGAAUUUGAGUUUUACUGUAUGUUUAUUUUGGUGUAAGUGGAGUGAUGGAACUCGAGUUCUAUCACUUCCGUUAUAUGUUUUGGUGUAAGUGAAAAAUAUAAUAUUGUAACUUAAGUUAUUGUAACUUAAGUUACGUUAGACCUCUACUUCACCUACUCUCAACUUCCUUCUCUAAAGUGCCGAACUCGACUUCCACCACACUCAACCUCUUCUAAAAUAUUUAUUAAACAAUAAAAUCUAAACUCUACUCCCCUUAUAAUAUAUUAGAAUUACCUUAUUUUUAAAUAAUAAUAAUAAAAUUAAUUAUAUAAUAAGUUAAAAUUUUAUAGCGGUAAAUUUACUAUUAUAUUUAGGAGAUAAUGGGAUCCACUUACUUACAUCAAAACAAACAACGGAACUCACAAAACUAAUUUCACCAGCACAAAGUUACAUCAAAACAAGCAGAAGAAAUAAUUGAAUUUAACUUUCAGACUAUACGAGUUACGUCAAAACAAACAACAAAAAAAUAAUCACACUUCAGGAAUCAAACACCACUGCACUUGACUUACGUUGGAUCUACAGAUUGGUCAAUCCAAACGGACCUAAGCUCCUUACUUCAUGUAAUUUCUACUCAUCUAUUUAUUCAGUUUUUGAGAUUUAUCAACUAAUAAAGAAUAUUUAAUAAAUAAAUUUUAA
This 1130-nucleotide long non-coding RNA is filed under the name Ananas comosus (pineapple). Its description in RNAcentral is "long non-coding RNA (ACOM_LNC023006)". Lineage: Eukaryota; Viridiplantae; Streptophyta; Magnoliopsida; Poales; Bromeliaceae. The record is from RNAcentral.